RNAcentral lists this ribosomal RNA (731 nucleotides) under Diacronema lutheri. RNAcentral's name for it is "SSU rRNA". It matches the Rfam family "Eukaryotic small subunit ribosomal RNA", at positions 555 to 1291 of the family's 1831-position model. Lineage: Eukaryota; Haptophyta; Pavlovophyceae; Pavlovales; Pavlovaceae. The record is from RNAcentral.
GCAAGUCUGGUGCCAGCAGCCGCGGUAAUUCCAGCUCCAAUAGCGUAUAUUAAAGUUGUUGCAGUUAAAAAGCUCGUAGUCGGAUUUCGGGCUGGUCGUGCGGGUCUGCCGUUGGGUAUGUACUUGCGUCGUCCGGUCAGUAUGGCGUAGGUGCGUCGCCUCGUUGAUUCGUGUGCGUCGUUCUCUGCGCCCGUUUACUUUGAGAAAAUCAGAGUGUUCAAAGCAGGCCUUUGCCAUUGUAUGUGUUAGCAUGGGAUAAUGGAAUAGGACCUUGGUGCUAUUUUGUUGGUUUCGAACGCCGAGGUAAUGAUGAAUAGGGACAGUCAGGGGCACUCGUAUUCCGUAGAGAGAGGUGAAAUUCUUAGACCCACGGAAGACGCACUACUGCGAAAGCAUUUGCCAGGGAUGUUUUCACUGAUCAAGAACGAAAGUUAGGGGAUCGAAGAUGAUCAGAUACCGUCGUAGUCUUAACCAUAAACCAUGCCGACCAGGGAUUGGUGGUUGUCAUCUUUGACAUCAUCAGCACCUUUCGAGAAAUCAGAGUCUUUGGGUUCCGGGGGGAGUAUGGUCGCAAGGCUGAAACUUAAAGGAAUUGACGGAAGGGCACCACCAGGCGUGGAGCCUGCGGCUUAAUUUGACUCAACACGGGGAAACUUACCAGGUCCAGACAUUGUGAGGAUUGACAGAUUGAGAGCUCUUUCUUGAUUCAAUGGGUGGUGGUGCAUGGCCGU